Molecule: ribosomal RNA, 338 nt
Filed under: uncultured bacterium
Lineage: Bacteria
Description: bacterial SSU rRNA
Rfam family: Bacterial small subunit ribosomal RNA
Source: RNAcentral
AGCGAACGUUAGCGGCGGGCCUAACACAUGCAAGUCGAACGAGAAAAUCCCUUCGGGGGUGAGUACAGUGGCGCACGGGUGAGGAACGCGUAGGUAAUCUACCCUUUGGCGGGGGACAACAUUCCGAAAGGAAUGCUAAUACCGCGUAAGACCACGCCCACUGCGGUGGAAGUGGUAAAAGGUGCCUCAAAGCACCACCAGAGGAUGAGCCUGCGUCCCAUCAGCUUGUUGGUAAGGUAAUGGCUUACCAAGGCUAAGACGGGUAGCUGGUCUGAGAGGAUGAUCAGCCACACUGGCACUGGAACACGGGCCAGACUCCUACGGGAGGCAGCAGUGAG